GGCACUUUGGCGGAGUGGUUAUCGCGCAGGCCUGCUAAGCCUGUUCCUUCGGGAGCGUGAGUUCGAAUCUCACAGGUGUCG
Molecule: transfer RNA, 81 nt
Filed under: Kalmusia sp. IMI 367209
Lineage: Eukaryota; Fungi; Ascomycota; Dothideomycetes; Pleosporales; Didymosphaeriaceae
Description: tRNA-Ser
Rfam family: tRNA
About the family: Transfer RNA (tRNA) molecules are approximately 80 nucleotides in length. Their secondary structure includes four short double-helical elements and three loops (D, anti-codon, and T loops). Further hydrogen bonds mediate the characteristic L-shaped molecular structure. tRNAs have two regions of fundamental functional importance: the anti-codon, which is responsible for specific mRNA codon recognition, and the 3' end, to which the tRNAs corresponding amino acid is attached (by aminoacyl-tRNA synthetases). tRNAs cope with the degeneracy of the genetic code in two manners: having more than one tRNA (with a specific anti-codon) for a particular amino acid; and 'wobble' base-pairing, i.e. permitting non-standard base-pairing at the 3rd anti-codon position.
Source: RNAcentral